ACAGAGCCUGGGAGAUGCUUCUGAUGAGUCUCAGACUACAACAGCACCACUGGAUGUCAUCACCACUGACACAACUACAACUACUACCAACACUUCAUUAUCUACUUGGGUCACCCAGAAAUCUACUGUACUGACAACAUCCAAAUCCACAAUCACCACUCUCAUCUCAACUGAAGCAGAACUUAUAGAGGAAAUAAACAGCACAACCUACAACAAAGCUCUAGAAGACAGAGUUGGACAAGAUAUUGCAGCAAAUCCAGGCCUCAUUGCAGUCCUUUGUAUUUUUUCCAUUGUGGUGGCUGUAGUUGUUGUGUUUGUAAUAGUGAAGGCUGUUCGCUCCAGGAGGCCACGGUUUGAGAGGCUUGACGAUGUACCUUUGGGCAAGAUAAGUGAGGAUGCACCAUUUGCCCGCUACAAUCCAAAAUGAAUGACGGUUUCUGGCCAUCUCGGUGAACUGCAUAGUUUUGCCACUGAUGUGUUUUACUGAAAUGCACCUUUUUGAUCUGUAGACUAGAUCUGCAAUACCCAGUGUAAUUAAGAAAAGCUGUGAAAAUAUUGUUUUUUUUAUUAUUAUUAUUAUUAAAAUCCCAUAUCUCAAAACAAA
This is a long non-coding RNA of Danio aesculapii, 604 nucleotides long. RefSeq lists it as uncharacterized. The transcript is spliced from 3 exons. The record is from RefSeq and is a predicted model, not a curated record. NCBI's taxonomy places the organism in Eukaryota, Metazoa, Chordata, Actinopteri, Cypriniformes, Danionidae.